CCGUAGUUUCGUGGUGAUUUGGCCGGCCGGCUUGCAGCCACGUAAAAAAAGUCGCUAAAGGGCCGCGAGAAGAUGACU
Regulatory RNA element from Rhizobium sp. YS-1r, 78 nucleotides. It matches the Rfam family "Alpha-proteobacteria SAM riboswitch aptamer". Rfam says of the family: This family is a riboswitch found predominantly in alpha-proteobacteria that binds S-adenosyl methionine (SAM). This SAM riboswitch is located upstream of the metA and metC genes in Agrobacterium tumefaciens, and other methionine and SAM biosynthesis genes in other alpha-proteobacteria. Lineage: Bacteria; Pseudomonadati; Pseudomonadota; Alphaproteobacteria; Hyphomicrobiales; Rhizobiaceae. The record is from Rfam.